GCAGUCGAGCGAGUCUGCCUUGAAGAUCGGAGUGCUUGCACUCUGUGAAACAAGAUACAGGCUAGCGGCGGACGGGUGAGUAACACGUGGGUAACCUGCCCAAGAGAUCGGGAUAACACCUGGAAACAGAUGCUAAUACCGGAUAACAACAGAUGAUGCCUAUCAACUGUUUAAAAGAUGGUUCUGCUAUCACUCUUGGAUGGACCUGCGGUGCAUUAGCUAGUUGGUAGGGUAACGGCCUACCAAGGCGAUGAUGCAUAGCCGAGUUGAGAGACUGAUCGGCCACAUUGGGACUGAGACACGGCCCAAACUCCUACGGGAGGCAGCAGUAGGGAAUCUUCCACAAUGGACGCAAGUCUGAUGGAGCAACGCCGCGUGAGUGAAGAAGGGUUUCGGCUCGUAAAGCUCUGUUGUUGGUGAAGAAGGACAGGGGUAGUAACUGACCUUUGUUUGACGGUAAUCAAUUAGAAAGUCACGGCUAACUACGUGCCAGCAGCCGCGGUAAUACGUAGGUGGCAAGCGUUGUCCGGAUUUAUUGGGCGUAAAGCGAGUGCAGGCGGCUCGAUAAGUCUGAUGUGAAAGCCUUCGGCUCAACCGGAGAAUUGCAUCAGAAACUGUCGAGCUUGAGUACAGAAGAGGAGAGUGGAACUCCAUGUGUAGCGGUGAAAUGCGUAGAUAUAUGGAAGAACACCGGUGGCGAAGGCGGCUCUCUGGUCUGUUACUGACGCUGAGGCUCGAAAGCAUGGGUAGCGAACAGGAUUAGAUACCCUGGUAGUCCAUGCCGUAAACGAUGAGUGCUAAGUGUUGGGAGGUUUCCGCCUCUCAGUGCUGCAGCUAAC
RNAcentral lists this ribosomal RNA (839 nucleotides) under uncultured bacterium. RNAcentral's name for it is "bacterial SSU rRNA". It matches the Rfam family "Bacterial small subunit ribosomal RNA", at positions 57 to 856 of the family's 1533-position model. The record is from RNAcentral.